AUGAGACAGACAUGAUACCCAAAGUGCAAGCUCUGGAAUAUAAAGUAAAAAUUAGUAAAGGGGAGAGUUGUCAUAUUGAGGAGGUACUCAGUCAUAUGAGAGUGCAGGUCUCAACUUUUGUAAUACAUCACCUUUGUAUUUUUAGAAUUUUAAACGUAGAUUGCACAUCCAUUCUGUCCAAAAUUUAUUUUUAAAUCUGAUUUUUCAAGGUUUUAAUUUUUGACUAAUUUCUGUUUCUAUUAAGUCAAUUUUCUGCCUAGUUAAGAAGGAACUAAGAAACCUUGUGAUAAAUAUUGUGCAAGACAGAAGAAAUGGGUCAGCUUGCAAGAUUGUGUCUGCUACAGUGAGUGUGUGUGUGGAGGGGGAGAUAAGAAAAUGAAACGAAUACACAAAGAAGGCAAAACAUCAACUUUCUGAAGUAUAACAGAUUACACCAAAGCUAAGGUGGUCACUCAUUUAUGCAUUUUUAGAACACAUUGGAAGAAAAAUUAAAGGUUAUUUUUCUCCCAUGCAAUUUUCAGGCUCCGUUCCCAGAGAGCAGACUAAUAGAAAUGUUCUCCAACCAUUAGACUGAAGUGUUAGAAAUAAUACUUCGCACACACCCCAGUCAAUGCAUUUCUAAUCCUCAACACUCCAUGGGCCGUGUGACUCCUGACCGUUCUUAGGACGGCCGUGGCAAGCCGGCACCUGGGCAUUUGGCCCGAGCGGUCCUCCGCCAGAAUGGAAGGGUGGAUGACCACAGUGAAGUCUACGCCAUUGAACCUGUUGGUUCCCACUCUGUUCUGAUAGAGAUCCCGGGAUCUGACAUCAGGAAUCUGGUCAGGUUCGAGCCGCCUGGCCCACGGAACCCACCUCCGACACUUGCCACAACCUCGAGCCAGGUGCUUGGGUCUACGUACGGUGCCAUCAUCGAAAGCACGCCUUGGAGCCCCGGUGGAAGGGUCCUCAUCAGGUACUGCUUACUACACAGACGGCUGUUAAACUAUCUGGCAUCGCAGCAUGGAUACAUGCUUCACAGUGUAAGAAGG
Chelonia mydas (Green sea turtle) is the source of this 1028-nucleotide long non-coding RNA. RefSeq lists it as uncharacterized. The transcript is spliced from 3 exons. Lineage: Eukaryota; Metazoa; Chordata; Testudines; Cheloniidae. The record is from RefSeq and is a predicted model, not a curated record.